RNAcentral lists this ribosomal RNA (497 nucleotides) under uncultured bacterium. RNAcentral describes it as "partial 16S ribosomal RNA". It matches the Rfam family "Bacterial small subunit ribosomal RNA", at positions 28 to 507 of the family's 1533-position model. The record is from RNAcentral.
GACGAACGCUGGCGGCGUGCCUAAUACAUGCCAGUUGAGCGCUGAAGGUUGGUACUUGUACCAACUGGAUGAGCAGCGAACGGGUGAGUAACGCGUGGGGAAUCUGCCUUUGAGCGGGGGACAACAUUUGGAAACGAAUGCUAAUACCGCAUAAAAACUUUAAACACAAGUUUUAAGUUUGAAAGAUGCAUUUGCAUCACUCAAAGAUGAUCCCGCGUUGUAUUAGCUAGUUGGUUAGGUAAAGGCUCACCAAGGCGAUGAUACAUAGCCGACCUGAGAGGGUGAUCGGCCAAAUUGGGACUGAGACACGGCCCAAACGCCUACGGGAGGCAGCAGUAGGGAAUCGUCGGCAAUGGACGAAAGGCUGACCGAGCAACGCCGCGUGAGUGAAGAAGGGUUUCGGAUCGUAAAACUCUGUUGGUAGAGAAGAACGUUGGUGAGAGUGGAAAGCUCAUCAAGUGACGGUAACUACCCAGAAAGGGACGGCUAACUACGUG